This 24-nucleotide microRNA is filed under the name Brugia malayi. RNAcentral describes it as "bma-miR-5867". The record is from miRBase by way of RNAcentral. Lineage: Eukaryota; Metazoa; Nematoda; Chromadorea; Rhabditida; Onchocercidae. RNAcentral also lists the same sequence under 1 other name.
GUGAUUAUUACUCAUGAAUGAAUA